GACGAACUUUGGCGGCGUGCUUAACACAUGCAAGUCGAACGGAAAGGCCCUGCUUUUGUGGGGUGCUCGAGUGGCGAACGGGUGAGUAACACGUGAGUAACCUGCCCUUGACUUUGGGAUAACUUCAGGAAACUGGGGCUAAUACCGGAUAGGAGCUCCUGCUGCAUGGUGGGGGUUGGAAAGUUUCGGCGGUUGGGGAUGGACUCGCGGCUUAUCAGCUUGUUGGUGGGGUAGUGGCUUACCAAGGCUUUGACGGGUAGCCGGCCUGAGAGGGUGACCGGCCACAUUGGGACUGAGAUACGGCCCAGACUCCUACGGGAGGCAGCAGUGGGGAAUAUUGCACAAUGGGCGGAAGCCUGAUGCAGCAACGCCGCGUGCGGGAUGACGGCCUUCGGGUUGUAAACCGCUUUCGCCUGUGACGAAGCGUGAGUGACGGUAAUGGGUAAAGAAGCACCGGCUAACUACGUGCCAGCAGCCGCGGUGAUACGUAGGGUGCGAGCGUUGUCCGGAUUUAUUGGGCGUAAAGGGCUCGUAGGUGGUUGAUCGCGUCGGAAGUGUAAUCUUGGGGCUUAACCCUGAGCGUGCUUUCGAUACGGGUUGACUUGAGGAAGGUAGGGGAGAAUGGAAUUCCUGGUGGAGCGGUGGAAUGCGCAGAUAUCAGGGGGAACACCAGUGGCGAAGGCGGUUCUCUGGGCCUUUCCUGACGCUGAGGAGCGAAAGCGUGGGGAGCGAACAGGCUUAGAUACCCUGGUAGUCCACGCUGUAAACGGUGGGUACUAGGUGUGGGGUCCAUUCCACGGGUUCCGUGCCGUAGCUAACGCUUUAAGUACCCCGCCUGGGGAGUACGGCCGCAAGGCUAAAACUCAAAGGAAUUGACGGGGCCCCGCACAAGCGGCGGAGCAUGCGGAUUAAUUCGAUGCAACGCGUAGAACCUUACCUGGGUUUGACAUGGAUCGGGAGUGCUCAGAGAUGGGUGUGCCUCUUUUGGGGUCGGUUCACAGGUGGUGCAUGGCUGUCGUGAGCUCGUGUCGUGAGAUGUUGGGUUAAGUCCCGCAACGAGCGCAACCCUUGUUCACUGUUGCCAGCACGUUAUGGUGGGGACUCAGUGGAGACCGCCGGGGUCAACUCGGAGGAAGGUGGGGAUGACGUCAAGUCAUCAUGCCCCUUAUGUCCAGGGCUUCACGCAUGCUACAAUGGCUGGUACAGAGAGUGGCGAGCCUGUGAGGGUGAGCGAAUCUCGGAAAGCCGGUCUCAGUUCGGAUUGGGGUCUGCAACUCGACCUCAUGAAGUCGGAGUCGCUAGUAAUCGCAGAUCAGCAACGCUGCGGUGAAUACGUUCCCGGGGCU
Molecule: ribosomal RNA, 1346 nt
Filed under: uncultured bacterium
Lineage: Bacteria
Description: partial 16S ribosomal RNA
Rfam family: Bacterial small subunit ribosomal RNA
Source: RNAcentral